GUAAGGAAUAUUGGACAAUGGUCGCAAGACUGAUCCAGCCAUGCCGCGUGCAGGAUGAAGGUGCUCUGCAUUGUAAACUGCUUUUAUUCGGGAAUAAACCCCUUCACGUGUGGAGGGCUGAAUGUACCGAAAGAAUAAGGGACGGCUAACUUCGUGCCAGCAGCCGCGGUAAUACGAAGGUCCCAAGCGUUAUCCGGAUUUAUUGGGUUUAAAGGGUGCGUAGGCGGGUUGUUAAGUCAGUGGUGAAAGCCUACAGCUUAACUGUAGAAUUGCCAUUGAUACUGACGAUCUUGAGUGUGGUUGAGGUGGGCGGAAUGUAUCAUGUAGCGGUGAAAUGCUUAGAUAUGAUACAGAACACCGAUUGCGAAGGCAGCUCACUAAGCCACUACUGACGCUGAGGCACGAAAGCGUGGGGAGCAAACAGGAUUAGAUACCCGGGUAGUCC
This 445-nucleotide ribosomal RNA is filed under the name uncultured bacterium. Its description in RNAcentral is "bacterial SSU rRNA". It matches the Rfam family "Bacterial small subunit ribosomal RNA", at positions 354 to 796 of the family's 1533-position model. The record is from RNAcentral.